RNAcentral lists this ribosomal RNA (429 nucleotides) under Pseudomonadota bacterium. RNAcentral describes it as "Proteobacteria bacterium partial 16S ribosomal RNA". It matches the Rfam family "Bacterial small subunit ribosomal RNA", at positions 355 to 776 of the family's 1533-position model. The record is from RNAcentral. Lineage: Bacteria; Pseudomonadati; Pseudomonadota.
UGGGGAAUAUUGGACAAUGGGCGAAAGCCUGAUCCAGCCAUGCCGCAUGUGUGAAGAAGGUCUUCGGAUUGUAAAGCACUUUAAGUUGGGAGGAAGGGCAGUAAGCGAAUACCUUGCUGUUUUGACGUUACCGACAGAAUAAGCACCGGCUAACUCUGUGCCAGCAGCCGCGGUAAUACAGAGGGUGCAAGCGUUAAUCGGAAUUACUGGGCGUAAAGCGCGCGUAGGUGGUUCGUUAAGUUGAAUGUGAAAGCCCCGGGCUCAACCUGGGAACUGCAUCCAAAACUGGCGAGCUAGAGUAGGGCAGAGGGUGGUGGAAUUUCCUGUGUGGCGGUGAAAUGCGUAGAUAUAGGAAGGAACACCAGUGGCGAAGGCGACCACCUGGGCUCAUACUGACACUGAGGUGCGAAAGCGUGGGGAGCAAACAGG